RNAcentral lists this long non-coding RNA (430 nucleotides) under Physcomitrium patens. RNAcentral describes it as "long non-coding RNA (PPAT_LNC006293)". Lineage: Eukaryota; Viridiplantae; Streptophyta; Bryopsida; Funariales; Funariaceae. The record is from RNAcentral.
UUUUCAAAAACUCCAAGACAUGAUAUUGGAAGAAGAGAUUAUAUGUGAGAUAAAAGGUAUUCAAAUUCAAGAAGUUGUCACGGACACAAAAUACAGACUUGAAAUCUAACAAGAAGUUCAAGAAAAAAAGGCAGAACUAGAUUAAACAGAUGAAUACAAGAACAACACCAGAAAGGUGAGCUAGAACUCCAAGAGAUGUGUUGUCGAGACUGAAGAACUCUUCAACAUCGAUCCCUAUAUAUACUCCUACUUAGGAAACUUCUCGAGCUACUUCUAUUAACUAGGAAGCUUCUAGAAAGUUCCAGGGGAUUCCUUUCUAGAAGCUUCUAGAAACUUCUCUUCUAGAAGGUUCCAGAGACUUCCUUUCUAGAAGCAUCUAGAAACUUCUCUCUAAAAGGUUCCAGAGGCUUCUCUUCUAGAAGGUUCCAGA